UACAGAGGUCCCAAGCGUUGUUCGGAUUCACUGGGCGUAAAGGGUGCGUAGGUGGUGAGGUAAGUUCGAUGUGAAAUCUCCGGGCUUAACCCGGAAAUGGCAUUGAAUACUAUCCCGCUAGAGAGUUGGAAGGGGGACUGGAAUUCUCGGUGUAGCAGUGAAAUGCGUAGAUAUCGAGAGGAACACCGGUGGCGAAGGCGAGUCCCUGGACAACUUCUGACACUGAGGCACGAAAGCUAGGGGAGCAAACAGGAUUAGAUACCCUGGUAGUCCUAGCCCUAAACGGUGCAUAUUUGCUGUAAGCGGAAUCGACCCCGUUUGUGGCGUAGCUAACGCGAUAAAUAUGCCGCCUGGGGAGUACGGUCGCAAGAUUA
This 374-nucleotide ribosomal RNA is filed under the name uncultured prokaryote. Its description in RNAcentral is "bacterial SSU rRNA". It matches the Rfam family "Bacterial small subunit ribosomal RNA", at positions 524 to 896 of the family's 1533-position model. The record is from RNAcentral.